UUUCGCAAUGCCCGAAAGGGUGACGAAGCGACGCCGCGUGUGGGAAGAAGGCUCUAGGGUUGUAAACCACUGUCAGGAGUUAAGAAAUGUAGAGGUGUUAAUAGCGCCUCUACUUGACGAAGGCUCCAGAGGAAGCCACGGCUAACUCUGUGCCAGCAGCCGCGGUAAUACAGAGGUGGCAAGCGUUGUUCGGAAUUAUUGGGCGUAAAGAGCACGUAGGCGGCCCUGCAAGUCAGUUGUGAAAUCCUUCCGCUUAACGGGAGAACGGCAGCUGAUACUACAGGGCUAGAGUACGGGAGGGGAGAGUGGAACUUCUGGUGGAGCGGUGAAAUGCGUAGAUAUCAGAAGGAACGCCGGCGGCGAAAGCGACUCUCUGGCCCGAAACUGACGCUGAGUGUGCGAAAGCUAGGGGAGCAAACGGGAUUAGAUACCCCGGUAGUCCUAACCGUAAACGAUGGGCACUAAGUAGAGGGGUUUUA
RNAcentral lists this ribosomal RNA (479 nucleotides) under uncultured bacterium. RNAcentral's name for it is "bacterial SSU rRNA". It matches the Rfam family "Bacterial small subunit ribosomal RNA", at positions 364 to 833 of the family's 1533-position model. The record is from RNAcentral.